Molecule: microRNA, 22 nt
Filed under: Octopus vulgaris (common octopus)
Lineage: Eukaryota; Metazoa; Mollusca; Cephalopoda; Octopoda; Octopodidae
Also listed under: 1 other name
Description: Ovu-Mir-12564_3p (mature (guide))
Source: RNAcentral
UGGGUGAGAUCUGUUAAUGAGA